Molecule: ribosomal RNA, 1637 nt
Filed under: Salmonella enterica subsp. enterica serovar Enteritidis
Lineage: Bacteria; Pseudomonadati; Pseudomonadota; Gammaproteobacteria; Enterobacterales; Enterobacteriaceae
Description: partial 23S ribosomal RNA
Rfam family: Bacterial large subunit ribosomal RNA
Source: RNAcentral
GAAUGCUGACAUAAGUAACGAUAAAGCGGGUGAAAAGCCCGCUCGCCGGAAGACCAAGGGUUCCUGUCCAACGUUAAUCGGGGCAGGGUGAGUCGACCCCUAAGGCGAGGCCGAAAGGCGUAGUCGAUGGGAAACGGGUUAAUAUUCCCGUACUUGGUGUUACUGCGAAGGGGGGACGGAGAAGGCUAUGUUGGCCGGGCGACGGUUGUCCCGGUUUAAGCGUGUAGGUGUGUGUUCCAGGUAAAUCCGGUUCACUUUAACACUGAGGCGUGACGACGAGGCACUACGGUGCUGAAGCAACAAAUGCCCUGCUUCCAGGAAAAGCCUCUAAGCAUCAGGUAACAUCAAAUCGUACCCCAAACCGACACAGGUGGUCAGGUAGAGAAUACCAAGGCGCUUGAGAGAACUCGGGUGAAGGAACUAGGCAAAAUGGUGCCGUAACUUCGGGAGAAGGCACGCUGACACGUAGGUGAAGUGAUUUACUCAUGGAGCUGAAGUCAGUCGAAGAUACCAGCUGGCUGCAACUGUUUAUUAAAAACACAGCACUGUGCAAACACGAAAGUGGACGUAUACGGUGUGACGCCUGCCCGGUGCCGGAAGGUUAAUUGAUGGGGUCAGCGCAAGCGAAGCUCCUGAUCGAAGCCCCGGUAAACGGCGGCCGUAACUAUAACGGUCCUAAGGUAGCGAAAUUCCUUGUCGGGUAAGUUCCGACCUGCACGAAUGGCGUAAUGAUGGCCAGGCUGUCUCCACCCGAGACUCAGUGAAAUUGAACUCGCUGUGAAGAUGCAGUGUACCCGCGGCAAGACGGAAAGACCCCGUGAACCUUUACUAUAGCUUGACACUGAACAUUGAGCCUUGAUGUGUAGGAUAGGUGGGAGGCUUUGAAGUGUGGACGCCAGUCUGCAUGGAGCCGACCUUGAAAUACCACCCUUUAAUGUUUGAUGUUCUAACGUGGACCCGUUACCCGGGUUGCGGACAGUGUCUGGUGGGUAGUUUGACUGGGGCGGUCUCCUCCUAAAGAGUAACGGAGGAGCACGAAGGUUGGCUAAUCCUGGUCGGACAUCAGGAGGUUAGUGCAAUGGCAUAAGCCAGCUUGACUGCGAGCGUGACGGCGCGAGCAGGUGCGAAAGCAGGUCAUAGUGAUCCGGUGGUUCUGAAUGGAAGGGCCAUCGCUCAACGGAUAAAAGGUACUCCGGGGAUAACAGGCUGAUACCGCCCAAGAGUUCAUAUCGACGGCGGUGUUUGGCACCUCGAUGUCGGCUCAUCACAUCCUGGGGCUGAAGUAGGUCCCAAGGGUAUGGCUGUUCGCCAUUUAAAGUGGUACGCGAGCUGGGUUUAGAACGUCGUGAGACAGUUCGGUCCCUAUCUGCCGUGGGCGCUGGAGAACUGAGGGGGGCUGCUCCUAGUACGAGAGGACCGGAGUGGACGCAUCACUGGUGUUCGGGUUGUCAUGCCAAUGGCACUGCCCGGUAGCUAAAUGCGGAAGAGAUAAGUGCUGAAAGCAUCUAAGCACGAAACUUGCCCCGAGAUGAGUUCUCCCUGAGACUUAAAGUCUCCUGAAGGAACGUUGAAGACGACGACGUUGAUAGGCCGGGUGUGUAAGCGCAGCGAUGCGUUGAGCUAACCGGUACUAAUGA